GACGAACCGUGCGAACGUUGUUCGGAAUCAUUGGGCUUAAAGGGCGCGUAGGCGGGUCUGCCAGUCAGGGGUGAAAGCCCACGGCUCAACCGUGGAAGUGCCUUUGAUACUGCAGAUCUCGAGGGAUGUAGGGGCGUGCGGAACUUCCGGUGUAGCGGUGAAAUGCGUAGAUAUCGGAAGGAAAACCGGUGGCGAAAGCGGCGCGCUGGACAUCUACUGACGCUGAGGCGCGAAAGCCAGGGGAGCAAACGGG
Molecule: ribosomal RNA, 253 nt
Filed under: uncultured bacterium
Lineage: Bacteria
Description: partial 16S ribosomal RNA
Rfam family: Bacterial small subunit ribosomal RNA
Source: RNAcentral